ACAGCUUCUGUAACCCAAAAGUGUAUGGAUUAACUAUCCAGCCUCUAUCGGUUGUGCUAGCAAAGGUAUUCAUGAAUCCAAUCUAUCAAAGGGCUGAGAGAAAACCUGGCUCAAAAUGCCCCAGAAGAUUUUACCUCCAAAGUGGAAGUACAUCUCACAGUCUCACAGUUUCUUGCCUGAUGCCUUAACAACUACACCAAACUGGUUUUAACAGAAUACUGGCAGAACACAGAGGCACAAUGUGGUAGCAGCAGUACCAGACCAACUAUCUCCAAAAGCGUUUCAGUCCUGACAGGAUUUUUGUAAACAGGCUGAAAUUCAUGCCAACAUGAGAGAUGACUGCAGCAGCAUAAGACUGAAGAUAUACGUUUAGUUACAAAAACGGUUGCCGACUCUGUAAUAUGUUUAGGAUUGUACAUUGCAUAUUCUGUACUUUAUAACCUGAUUCUGGAACAAAAACCAAAUCUCCACAGAAUUGAACUUACGUGUACCUGAAUCAGAGGAUGAUGUUAACAAGGCCUUAACUUGGAAUAACAUCAAUUAUUGCUACUUUUCUCCUUCUGAUGCCAUGGCGCUAUAUUUAAGUUAUUAGGGAUGUAUAGAUGGAAAAUAUGGAGCUGUAAGCUGUAAGUUCCUACUGCCACUAGUUAUAUUCUACCAGGACAUCUGAAAGAACAUAGAAUUGGAAGUGCAGGAAUCCAAAUUUUCCCAACAGAAGGCUAUAUCCAAGCAGAGGAAUGCUAAUUGUGGUUAGUUAUUGGUUCUACUCUAAGACUGCUCUUUCUGUCAGUAGGACCUCUCCUAUUAUUCAAUUGACCUCUACCUUUUUGGAGCUUUAGACUACACUGACACACAUAGUUCUUUGAAUUAUUUAUCUGUGUUAUCACACAAUAACUUUCCAAAAGUGCUUUCUCCCCACUUGAAUAAAGUGAUGAGAUUAGCUAUUUCCAUACCUGAUGGUUAGAACUUUCAAAAAUGUUUACUCUUGAAGUGAAAGGAAAGCUUUUGAGG
Pseudonaja textilis is the source of this 1011-nucleotide long non-coding RNA. RefSeq lists it as uncharacterized. The record is from RefSeq and is a predicted model, not a curated record. Lineage: Eukaryota; Metazoa; Chordata; Lepidosauria; Squamata; Elapidae.